Drosophila montana is the source of this 251-nucleotide long non-coding RNA. RefSeq lists it as uncharacterized. The transcript is spliced from 2 exons. Lineage: Eukaryota; Metazoa; Arthropoda; Insecta; Diptera; Drosophilidae. The record is from RefSeq and is a predicted model, not a curated record.
GGAAAAUAGCAUUACGUAGCUGUUUGGCAAUUAAAGUAACCAGUUUGCAUUUUAAGCCGCAACAUUUGCCUUGAUUUUCGGUUAUGGUUACUCUAAUUGCGGAGCAGCUGCACUUCUUAACUUUUGACACCAACACACACUCUUAUACAAUUUCCAACGAACCCAAAACGCGUCUUUCUCGUUCGCUGCUACCAGCACGAAUGUGCGAUUACUGGUAACAGGGCACAGCAACCAACCUUAACAUUUCGCUG